Molecule: ribosomal RNA, 239 nt
Filed under: Glomus sp.
Lineage: Eukaryota; Fungi; Glomeromycota; Glomeromycetes; Glomerales; Glomeraceae
Description: partial small subunit ribosomal RNA
Rfam family: Eukaryotic small subunit ribosomal RNA
Source: RNAcentral
GGAUCAAUAUUUCGGUCAUGCCGUUGGUAUGCACUGUUAUCAUUGAUUUCUCACCUUCUAAAGAACCGUGAUGCCAUUAAUUUGGUGUUACGGGGAAUUAGGACUGUUACCUUGAAAAAAUUAGAGUGUUUAAAGCAGGCUCACGCUUGAAUACAUUAGCAUGGAAUAAUGAAAUAGGACAUCCGAUUCUAUUUUGUUGGUUUCUAGGAUCGAUGUAAUGAUUAAUAGGGAUAGUUGGG